Molecule: transfer RNA, 76 nt
Filed under: Tolumonas sp.
Lineage: Bacteria; Pseudomonadati; Pseudomonadota; Gammaproteobacteria; Aeromonadales; Aeromonadaceae
Description: tRNA-Ala
Rfam family: tRNA
About the family: Transfer RNA (tRNA) molecules are approximately 80 nucleotides in length. Their secondary structure includes four short double-helical elements and three loops (D, anti-codon, and T loops).
Source: RNAcentral
GGGGUUUUAGCUCUGCUGGGAGGGCGCUUGCGUGGCAUGCAAGAGGUCCGCGGUUCGAUCCCGCGUAGCUCCACCA